UUCCUGGGGGAAGAGCCCAGGGUGGGGAAUAAGGCAGAAAAGAGAUGUAAAGGAGAGCGAGCUGGCUCCUGUGAUGUGGUCCUGUCGCGGGCAAGGCUCCGGGAGUGAGUGAGCCUGCAGGACGCCGCUUCAGAAUUGAUACGAAGUUGCUGUUUACUAACUCGGCUCUGCCCAGACCUUUUGGGAGAAAUGGCAGUUUUCACUGCAAAGCGUUCUCACAGCUAAAGUCCUGAGGGGUGUGCGGUGCGGGGCCCGUGCGGGCAGUGGCUGAGCACAGAAGGCGUCCACACCCUCCCACGGCUGGGGUCCCCACCUCCAGCGGGUGGGGAGGUCGGGGGCUCGCGAGUGGUCACAUCACGUCUGCACCAAGGUCGCAUCACCGAGACUGUGCACGGGGACCUGGACCCACCCACGCACAUGCUCCUCCAUGGAUUGAAGAGGGAAGGUUCCCGGGAACAGGCCUCCACCUGCUUUCCAAACACAUCUGUGGAGGGGAUGCUGGCUCCUGCCUUGUGAAGCUCAAGCUGGAGGACAAGAAACCCCUCCUCCUUCCCCUGUAUCCCCAGGCCUGACCUCAGAUGGAAUUGGUGACCAUGACCGUGCAUGGUGCUUGCAGCUAAAAUGUCACCUCAAGGGCACAGGAACCAAAGUCACUUCUGGGGCCUCCCUCCAGUUCCUGCCAUGAUGCCGAUCACAGCGGCCUGGGUGUCUUCCCCACCUGGCACGUCUAAUCCCCUGAUCUGAACACCCGGCUCUCUUGUGACCCAGCACAGACUCUCCAGGAGAUUUCAAAGCUUCCAUCCCAGCCGGGUGGACCAGAAUCUUCCAUCCUGGUUAUCCGCCAUCCUGCCCAUUGAGGUGGCUGUCACCCUGUGAGGACCAUGAGACGCCUUCAGGAGGGAACAGCGAAGUGACCUAAAUCUCUGGCUGGAGGAGGCGCAUCCUAUGCUCGCUCUCCCGUAGCUGGUGCUGCAGAUGAGCCAGGGCGCCCUGUGUGUCCUGGUUUACAGAGCGGAAGGUACGGUCACCCACGAAACCGUCAGGGACCUCUCUGCACCCAGGGCAGGUUCUAAGGCAUGAAAGAUCAAUUCUGUGGAGACUCCUUGGCCCCAGAGCUGCUGGGGAAUCUGCCAGAGAGCCCAUGGUUUCCAUAGAAACUACGGAUGAGUUUAGCAUGAGUCCCCGUCCUGCCACUCAAGUCCGAGAAGAAAGAUCAGUAGCAUGGGGGCAAUCGCUGGGCUAGGGCUCCCUGCCCCGGCUGUGAGCGGACCAAGCCCGUCAGGAUGAGGCCCACGGGGAGGAGACGGGCCCUUCUCCACGCCGAGAUGAGGCCCAAGUCUUGGAUCCGUUUGGAAGACCCAACGCUUGCAUCUUUCGCUCCAGUAUGAUCUCCCAGUAGGAAACUUCCCAAACUAUCUCAGUGAUCUUCUCUAGGGCCUCACUCUGCUCUUAUAGAAGGUGAUUUUUGUUAUCUCUUUAACCUAUAUUUUUGUUGUGGCAAUUUAAACUUUUCUCUACUUAUAUACCAGGUGAAAUUUUAAAAAAUAAACAAACACGCACAACCAUAAGACUUGAAGAUGCUGUCUCCUGCGGGGCACUUGGAUCAUCUCCCAUGCACUGAAACCUCACCAUUAUGUUCUCAAUCUC
Non-coding RNA from Delphinapterus leucas (beluga whale), 1647 nucleotides. The record is from RefSeq and is a predicted model, not a curated record. NCBI's taxonomy places the organism in Eukaryota, Metazoa, Chordata, Mammalia, Artiodactyla, Monodontidae.